CAGCAGCCGCGGUAAUACGUAGGGUGCGAGCGUUAAUCGGAAUUACUGGGCGUAAAGCGUGCGCAGGCGGCUUUGCAAGACAGAGGUGAAAUCCCCGGGCUCAACCUGGGAACUGCCUUUGUGACUGCAAGGCUAGAGUACGGCAGAGGGGGAAGGAAUUCCGCGUGUAGCAGUGAAAUGCGUAGAUAUGCGGAGGAACACCGAUGGCGAAGGCAAUCCCCUGGGCCUGUACUGACGCUCAUGCACGAAAGCGUGGGGAGCAAACAGGAUUAGAUACCCUGGUAGUCCACGCCCUAAACGAUGUCUACUGGUUGUUGGACGGCUUGCUGUUCAGUAACGAAGCUAACGCGUGAAGUUGACCGCCUGGGGAGUACGGCCGCAAGGUUGAAACUCAAAGAAAUUGACGG
This 407-nucleotide ribosomal RNA is filed under the name uncultured rumen bacterium. RNAcentral's name for it is "bacterial SSU rRNA". It matches the Rfam family "Bacterial small subunit ribosomal RNA", at positions 509 to 916 of the family's 1533-position model. The record is from RNAcentral.